Lates calcarifer (barramundi perch) is the source of this 1353-nucleotide long non-coding RNA. RefSeq lists it as uncharacterized. The record is from RefSeq and is a predicted model, not a curated record. NCBI's taxonomy places the organism in Eukaryota, Metazoa, Chordata, Actinopteri, Centropomidae. The transcript is spliced from 5 exons.
UUUUUUGUCUUGCGUGUGUUGUCAUUGGCUAUGAGGAGUGCAGAGAGGCUGAGAAACGAAGUCAGGAAACAGAUUAAAACCAAUGUUUGAAUGUUGCCUCGGUUUGUCAGUACUGUGAGAAAACUUAAAUACUGAAGAGCAUGGAUGCUAAAACAAGCAUCGAAGCUGGUUUUUGUGUGACCCGAGCGAGGCUGGACGCCGAAUGUGUCGCAGUUUCCUCCAGGUGUCGCCACUUUAUCCACCACAUAGUCCACGGUCGCCGAGACAUUGUCCAUGAUUGGAGAGACAUUGUUGAGGAUGAGGGAGACAUCAUCCAUGAUCAGAGACAUUGUCCAUGACUCACAGAGACGUGCAAAAAUUGCAGUGACGGAGUUGACCAAUUUGAAGGCAUUGUCCGUGAUCAGAGAGACAUUGUCAAUAAUCACAGAGACUUUGUCCAUAAUCUCAGAGACAUUGUCCACGAUCACAGAGAUGUUGUCCAUGAUCACAGAGAUGUUGUCCACGACUUGUCUCACAUCUCCACAGAGAGUUAUUGUACAAUGAAGAGACCAGGACAUAGGCCUCCAGUUUCUUCCAGGUGUCACCACUUCAUCCACCACAUAGUCCAUGAUUGCCGAGACAUCAUCCAUUAUUGCAGAGACUUUGUCCAUGAUCGGAGAGACAUUGUUGAGGAUGAGGGAGACAUCGUCCAUGAUCAGAGACAAUGUCCAUGAUCGCAGAGACCUUGUCAAAGAUGAGAGAGACGUUGUCCGUGAUCAGAGACAUUGUCCCAUGCUUCGUAGAGACCUUGCAAUAGAAUCGGCGGAGACGGGGGUCACCGAUUUGACGGCAUUGCCCGCGAUCAUGGAGACAUUGUUAAUGAUCACAGAGGCACCGUCUAUGAUCUCAGAGACAUCGUCCACGAUCACAAAGUCAUUGUCCAUGAUCGCAGAGACUUUGUCCAUAAUCUCAGAGACAUUGUCCGCGAUUGCAGAGAGUCUUUGAGACCAAGACAGAGGCCUCCAGGUGACACCACUUUGUCCACAACAUCGUCCACAAAUGCAGAGACUUUGUCCAUGAUCGGAGAGACAUUGUUGAGGAUGAGGGAGACAUCGUCCAUGAUCAGAGACAUCGUCCACGAUCACAAAGUCAUUGUCCAUGAUCGCAGAGACUUUGUCCAUAAUCUCAGAGACACUGUCCGCGAUUGCAGAGAGUCUUUGAGACCAGGACAGACGCCUCCAGGUGACACCACUUUGUCCACGACAUUGUCCACGAUCGCAGAGACUUUGUCCAUGAUCGGAGAGACAUUGUUGAGGAUGAGGGAGACAUCGUCCACGAUCAGAGGCAUUGUCCAUGAUCGCAGAGACCUUGUCA